GAGUCGACCAAAAUAGUGUAUGUAGUAGUGAGCACAUAAUUUGUGGUCACUAAUACAAAAGCAAUUCUCCUCAAUGACAGUUCGAGGUAAACAACCAAGAAAUUGAUCCGCCUCAGCUCUGUCCACAAACCGCAAAAGUGAACAGCUUCAACACCACAAAUAGAAAAUAAAUUAUAUAAAUGGUUUGAACAGACAUCCUACUACAAAAUCUACAAAAUUUGAAAUAAGAAUUUAAUUAUAAUUCGCAAGAGUGAAAACUUCGACGGUCUUUUCAACGAUCAGUGGUCAAAAUGCUGAAGAACCAAUGCCAAGAGUGAAUUCCGUCAGGAUUCUAUUGUUGACACAAAUUUAGCUUUCGUCGACGUCAGUGAUACCGCUUCCGCUAACCCAUAGGAGGAAUAGCCAUGAAAUCGUCGUAUGUUCAUCAGAGGGAAGUUGCACCAUGUCAUCGAGUCGACGAACAAUAAUAUCAUGAAUUAACUGAAGCUUUAUCCGGAACCCCAACACAGCCUUCACUUAUUCCGACGCGCAAAUAUCAAACCACUUCGACUAUAGCUCAACGACAUCUAGCAAAAAGAAUCACACUUGCCGGACGAGUUCUCGCCACGACUGCAACUUGCCAGACGUCCUUUUAAGUUUCCAUCGGUGUCUAGCUUAUACAUCUCCCCUGAGGCAGAAUCCCGUUGAGAGAAGGUUUACCUGGAGCUGACCAACUUUCCUCAUCUGAGCGAAUUUCCCAAGCACUUGUCCCGUCUGGAAGGAAAUGACCAGAAUGCGGUAUGGGACCACCCGAUACGACGUAUACUUUCUUCCAGCUAUGCCGUUUACGUUGCAUCCUGUUUGGUUUUAACUCGAGCGAGUGUGUCGCAGAGUGGCAGAAGGCAAGAUGUAAAGCGAAAUUCAAGCAUCACUUCGACAGGUUAACCUUUCGUUGGAUCAGAAGUAUUCGAUCAGAAAGAUGCAUCGAUCAUCGAUGGUUUUUACAAUUGCUGGCCUGGCGAUAAAAUCGGUUACUGUCAUACAAAAAGUAUCCCACAUAUACUGCAGAGUAAUGUCCAACAAAAGGAAGCAUCCGAAAUGAGAAAAUAUAUUUCUGCACUACAAUGUUUGUAACUCAUAACGAUAGACAAAGGUAAUAAGUAAAAAAAUAGACCCGCAAAUACUCCUUGCGGAGGAUCUCAGUAAUGCACUGAUAGUUACAGUGAGUAUCUCAAAACAAUACUUUCAUAAUAUGCUUUACAACUGUACGGACAGUAUGAACCAUCCUUUACCCCUGUUAUCGAAUAAAGUUACGACAGUUUAAAAUAUUUCA
Molecule: long non-coding RNA, 1312 nt
Organism: Armigeres subalbatus
Lineage: Eukaryota; Metazoa; Arthropoda; Insecta; Diptera; Culicidae
Exons: 2
Source: RefSeq, a predicted model, not a curated record